Molecule: unclassified non-coding RNA, 332 nt
Filed under: soil metagenome
Description: partial contains 5.8S ribosomal RNA, internal transcribed spacer 2, and large subunit ribosomal RNA
Rfam family: 5.8S ribosomal RNA (bases 1-120)
Source: RNAcentral
GAUGAAGAACGUAGUGAAAUGCGAUAAGUAAUGUGAAUUGCAGAAUUCCGUGAAUCAUCGAAUCUUUGAACGCACAUUGCGCCCCCUGGUAUUCCGAGGGGCAUGCCUGUUCGAGCGUCAUUAUCACCCCUCAAGCUCAGCUUGGUGUUGGGGCCGGCCCGUCACAGGGCCGCCCCUAAAAGCAGUGGCGGUGCCAUCUGGCUCUACGCGUAGUAAUACUCCUCGCGACAGAGUCCCGGUGGUGUCCUGCCAGAACCCCCCAUCUUUUUAAUGAUUGACCUCGGAUCAGGUAGGGAUACCCGCUGAACUUAAGCAUAUCAAUAAGCGGAGGA